GGGGAAUAUUGCACAAUGGGCGCAAGCCUGAUGCAGCGACGCCGCGUGGGGGAUGACGGCCUUCGGGUUGUAAACUCCUUUCAACCAUGACGAAGCUUUCGGGUGACGGUAGUGGUAGAAGAAGCACCGGCUAACUACGUGCCAGCAGCCGCGGUAAUACGUAGGGUGCGAGCGUUGUCCGGAAUUACUGGGCGUAAAGAGCUCGUAGGUGGUUUGUCGCGUCGUCUGUGAAAUUCCGGGGCUUAACUCCGGGCGUGCAGGCGAUACGGGCAUAACUUGAGUGCUGUAGGGGAGAACGGAAUUCCUGGUGGAGCGGUGGAAUGCGCAGAUAUCAGGAGGAACACCAGUGGCGAAGGCGGUUCUCUGGACAUUUCCUGACGCUGAGAAGCGAAAGCGUGGGGAGCAAACA
Molecule: ribosomal RNA, 409 nt
Filed under: uncultured Actinomycetales bacterium
Lineage: Bacteria; Bacillati; Actinomycetota; Actinomycetes; Actinomycetales
Description: bacterial SSU rRNA
Rfam family: Bacterial small subunit ribosomal RNA
Source: RNAcentral